This 253-nucleotide ribosomal RNA is filed under the name uncultured bacterium. RNAcentral's name for it is "partial 16S ribosomal RNA". It matches the Rfam family "Bacterial small subunit ribosomal RNA", at positions 524 to 776 of the family's 1533-position model. The record is from RNAcentral.
UACGUAGGUGGCGAGCGUUGUCCGGAUUUACUGGGCGUAAAGAGCGCGCAGGCGGUCGUUCAAGUCGCGUGUGAAAGCCCCCGGCUCAACUGGGGAGGGUCACGCGAUACUGAUCGACUCGAAGGCAGGAGAGGGAAGUGGAAUUCCCGGUGUAGCGGUGAAAUGCGCAGAUAUCGGGAGGAACACCAAUUGCGAAGGCAGCUCGCUGGGACGUCACUGACGCUGAGACGCGAAAGCGUGGGGAGCAAACAGG